GGUGGGAAAGAUCAUUCCGGACUCCGACAUCUCUAGCAUCGCUGUACAGCGGAAAAAAGGAAGUGGGCAUUUUACGGAUAGCAGGGACACAGCUGAGGGCAGCCGCGCAGCUAACCCAGCGGCAGCGACGACGGGCGAAUGUCGGGCGAAUUUCUCAGUGUGCGAAGGAGAUGCGCGUGUCAGGAGACCGCGGGGAAAUGAGUAAGGACGAGUCGGCCGAUACGUGGGUCAUGAGUCGCGCAAAAUGAGGAAAUUGUGUAACGCUGCGGUGGAGGCCCGAACAACGGACUGCCUCGAAGUCACGAGACGUCUGCACAAGAGCGUGACAGAGAUUGUCAAGAAAUUGGAUGAACAGAAAAAUCGUGCUCUAACAGUAAGCGAUAUAUUUGUCCCAUCGGGAGAAGUGUUACGUGUGAGACUUAAAGAUUAUUGUGAGAGAUUGAUAUUGAAAGAUCCUGUUGGAAAUGUGCAUAAAAUAGAGGAAUUAUUGUGGAGGAAAGCUUUUUACGAUGUUGUUUAUACAGCCAAAAAAAUUAGAAAGAGUAACAUCUGGAAUGAUUCGGAAAAAGCAUUAUUGUCGGUUCAUUUCUCAGUUGGUGUGGGAUAUUAUCAUCAUCUGAUAUUGAGGCUACAAAUAGAAUAUGAUCUAGAUCUUGUCGGUGUUGUUGACUUUGCAUUCAUUCAAAAUGAAAGUGUUUCGUCGUAUGUAAGUAAACAUAUGGAAAGAGCAAGAACUAAGACUGGACAAUUUAAAACUCAUACCAAGGAAGUUAAACAGUGUGUCAUGCGUUUGGUCCAUCGAAGCUUGGUAUGCCUUGGAGACCUGACCAGGUACAAAUUAGAAUUAGAUUCAAAUUGGGAUCCAAUGAUAGCAAACAGAUAUUAUAAAAUGGCUAUAGCCAUUGAUCCAAAUAUUGGUAUGCCUUACAAUCAGCUUGGUACUAUAGCGGGCAGCAAAAAUUAUGGAUUGGAUGCAGUCUAUCAUUAUAUGAAAAGUGUUUUAUGUUCUGAACCAUUUGAAGGAGCAGAAGGAAAUUUAAAGAGAACCAUAAUAACUCAUUCUCUCUGUACAGAUGAAAACAAUUCUGUCCAUCAUUGUGUGACGCGAUUAUUUUCUUUAUUGCGUUUAUGGGAUUAUGACAAUCCAAAUUCUGAUAGAAUAAAUCUGGAAUGCCAGGAUCUCUUAACUGACAUAGAGAAAUGUUUAACAAUGGAACAAAUUGAACCAAAUAACGCAAAUUGCCUUGAAAAUAUGGAUAGUAUAGAGACAUAUCUUCAACAUUGCAAGAACAGACCAACACUUUAUUUAACCGACGACAUGAUAUUUAAGAUUGUGACAAUAUGCUUAAUGUCAAUUUCUAGAUUAAAGAGCAAAGAAUCUAGCGAAGUGCAGGGUGUUGUUGCUAUAACUUUGGCAAUACUAUCGCAAUUACUGGAAUUUAUAAUAACGAGACUGCAAAAUAUUGUCAUAGACAUGGCAGUACCUGAUAUAGAAGCAAUUGCAAAAGCGGAUAUGUAUUCUACAAAAUUGAAAAAUGCGCAAAGAAGUCAAGAAUCAUUUAAGCAAAAAAACAAUAGAGAUUAUACAGAAGGAGAAGAUUCUGCUUUGAGCAAUGACAAUAAUGCAUUCAACUUAGAUAAAACUAACAAAGCAAAGUUAUCAGAUAAUAAUGAAAUCGUGAACAAAGAUCCCAAAAAGAUUCGCGACAAAUCGAAAAGUCUUCUCAGCAAACUGCGUAGACGAAAAAGGAGAACUAGCUCCGAUUCGGACGCAAGCGAUAUAGAGCAAUCGACCUUGGCAUCGUCUAGCGACGAGAUCAAUUCAGAUGUGUCUGAGACAGAAGAGGAUGACGCAUUGAGCGAAGAAAAUGCCGUAUUAUCAGACGAUAAUACCGAUGACGAAGAGUCAUCGCCAACGGAUAAUAUCCAGAAUACCGAAAACAUAACGCAGAAAGAGAUGAACGGCCACGUUAGCGAUAUCGUUAACAAAACGGAUAAUUGCGACGGAAGCGAUCAUUUAGUUAAUGGCAAACAGCACACAACUGACCGGCAAACAGACUCAAAGACGAUAAGUGAUAAAGAUUCCGUAACGAAUUCCAGCAGCGUCGCAACGAUCACGACGAACGCGAGCUCGAGUAGCACUUUCGAGGACAACAAUCGCUUAUGCGGCAUGAACAAUAUCUGUUACACGGCACAGUUGAAGAAACGGAGCUUAAAACCGGACGACAUUUUAAAUAUAUUGAUCGACAAGGAAAUGCUUAUGUCUAUCAAAGUGUGUUGCGAUUGGCUGCGAAGUAACCCAGACAUUGUGAGGAUAUGCGCCAAGAGGACGUUGCUGAAGCGUUUUACAAUCCUAUUGAAUUUGAUCAACAUGGACACCGAGGCUCUCGUACGAAAGAGCGACGAUUUUACGAUUCUGUCGAACAUGGAGAAACUAAAAGAGUGCGUGAAAACGGUACCUCUACCAGAAGACAUUGAUCUCAGGGGAUUGAAUCUGCUGGAAGAUGCUCACAAAUCUCUCGAUUGGCAGAUACUGCAUAAAUAUAAAAUGAAUAAGCGGGAGGAGAUGCUUCUGAGAGGAUUGAAACUAAUCGAAUUUGGACAUCAUCUCAGUUCUGUCGAAAAUUCAGGUGUGCAAUACGAUCAAACCGAACGAUUAUUCGUGGCGACGGAUCCGUGUCCCUCGAAUGCUUCAAAGGUUAUCGGUCUAGACGAAAAGAACUUUGGGCCUGAACAUUCGAAAGGAAAGCUUAUGAGACACAUGGGUAAAUUGUGGUUAAAAGCCGAAGUUCGAGCUCUGGAGAGUCAAUUACGAUCUCGAUUGAUGUCGCCAUAUCUCGUACCCGAUCACGAAGCGUUAGCCAAACAUACGCCGGCUCUUAAGCGCUUAGUAUACGCCAAGAAGUUUAUAGUAGUGAUUCCCGCAGUUGUUGUUUCUGCUUUGGACGAAGUGAAACGCGUAAGUGCCCAGGCGAGAGAAGCGACGCGAUGGUUGGAAACACAAUUGAGACGUGGCUCAAGAUUCUUGCGGGCGCAGAGACCUCACGAGCGUUUGGCGCUCCCAUUGAUAAAAGGACCAAGACCAAAGGACAAGGAAGCAUGGUUGUUUUUCCAGAUAAUAGAAUGUUGUCAUUAUCUUACUCAGCAAGCAAAAGUUGGUUUCACCGGUGAUGGAGAGGCACCAGUUGUAACCCUCCUGACUGGUUGUAAUCUGGAUGACAGAAAAGCUUUGACUUUUAGUCCCGAUGGAUUAGCGAAAAGUGCAGGCGUUAAUCUGGAGCAUAUAGAAUCGUUUCAAACAAAGUGGAAAUCAUCAUUUAAGAGCCAUGGUUGAGCAAAAAAGUCAUAUGUACGUGAUCAUCUGCUGUUAUUCUCAGCCGAUUCUCAGCCGAUCGGAAGGCGAGCACGGCAAGAGGGUUGGAAACCCGCGCAUAUAAAAUGGAAAAUUGACAGAAUUGUACCGCUAUAAAAUCGGUGCCGAUAGAAUGUCCUUUUCCGUCAUACGCAAGAAAACUCUAAACACCAAUGUAUUCUCAUCAGCCCUAUUAUCCAUCUGGAGAAUCGUAGCUGUUCACAGAUAUGAAUUAACAUGCUAUUGAAGAACAGGAAGCAUGAUUUAAGCGAUAUACAUUAAGCGAUUCAUGUCCAUUGAAGCAAUCGAAAGGAAUUAUCUAAACUCUGGAUAAUACUAAUUACUUGAAAUGUGUUAACUUUGUAGAUAUAAAAAAAAAGAAGUAAUAAUCUUAUGUACAAAUUUGAUUAGUCAUUAACUAUCAGCAGGUAUUUUUGCAUUCAAUGCACUUUUAUAGCUCUUUUAAUUAUUUAAAAAAAAAAAAAAAAAAAAUGCGAGGAAAAUGUUUAUAUACGAUAUAGAUAUAUAUUUAUACACACAUACAUUUUGAUAUCGUUUUAUAAUAUUGUUUUUAUAUUAGAUAAUAUGAAAAACACGAUCAGACGAAUCUAAAAACUCUAAGAUACUUUUUGUGACUUUUCGAAACGCGUAGAUAUAUUUGGCAUGAUAUGAGUCACGUGCGUCGAUUGUGUGCGUAUAUACGAUGUAUGACUAGUAAGAAUACACCACGUAUCCGGCUGAAUCCGGCACACGACGUCGCUUGAACGCGUAUCAUCUUGACGGCGUCGAGCGCGCAGGCGCGGCCAGUGCUUUCGCGUUGCGGUAGUGGCAGCGUGACAUAACCUAGCGGUUCUUGCGUUAUCCGUCGGUUUACGUGGUUCCACUACGAGGUACGAUCGUGCGAUCGGAAUUUGGUCUCGCACGAAGACGGAAUCGCGGUGAUCGCGGUUCUAUUGCGUGACUCACGCCACCGUCAAGCCGCGUGUUAAUCGUUAUGGCCGAGCGCGGAACGACGCGAUACAUAUUGGUGCAUGUCGGUCCGGUCGCACAGUCUCUCUAGUUUCGCGGGCCCAGAGUCUCGCAGGUGAAAAAAUUCAACGUAGUUCCUCGUCGCUGCGUCGGGCGCACGGGACGUUCGCAUCGCGAGCGCGAGGGAGUGUCAUCGUCGUCGGGCCGCGGGUGUCCGUAGUCGAGAUAUAUUUACACGGUGCGCAAUUACGUGGUUGUGAGUCCGAGUGAGAGAGGCUGAAAGAAGGACA
RNA transcript from Formica exsecta, 4611 nucleotides. It is a transcript of the gene named protein SMG5, with no coding region annotated. NCBI's taxonomy places the organism in Eukaryota, Metazoa, Arthropoda, Insecta, Hymenoptera, Formicidae. The record is from RefSeq and is a predicted model, not a curated record. The transcript has 9 exons.